Molecule: ribosomal RNA, 301 nt
Filed under: uncultured bacterium
Lineage: Bacteria
Description: partial 16S ribosomal RNA
Rfam family: Bacterial small subunit ribosomal RNA
Source: RNAcentral
CAGUAGCCGCGGGAAUACGUAGGUGGCAAGCGUUGUCCGGAAUUAUUGGGCGUAAAGGGCUCGCAGGCGGUUUCUUAAGUCUGAUGUGAAAGCCCCCGGCUCAACCGGGGAGGGUCAUUGGAAACUGGGAAACUUGAGCGCAGAAGAGGAGAGCGGAAUUCCACGUGUAGCGGUGAAAUGCGUAGAGAUGUGGAGGAACACCAGUGGCGAAGGCGACUCUCUGGUCUGUAACUGACGCUGAGGAGCGAAAGCGUGGGGAGCGAACAGGAUUAGAUACCCGCGUAGUCCCUGUCUCUUAUAC